GACGAACGCUGGCGGCGUGCUUAACACAUGCAAGUCGAACGGAAAGGCCCUGCUUUUGUGGGGUGCUCGAGUGGCGAACGGGUGCGUAACACGUGAGUAACCUGCCCUUGACUAUGGGAUAACUUCAGGAAACUGGGGCUAAUACCGGAUAGGAGCUCCUGCUGCAUGGUGGGGGUUGGAAAGUUUCGGCGGUUGGGGAUGGACUCGCGGCUUAUCAGCUUGUUGGUGGGGUAGUGGCUUACCAAGGCUUUGACGGGUAGCCGGCCUGAGAGGGUGACCGGCCACAUUGGGACUGAGAUACGGCCCAGACUGCUACGGGAGGCAGCAGUGGGGGAUAUUGCACAAUGGGCGGAAGCCUGAUGCAGCGACGCCGCGUGCGGGAUGACGGCCUUCGGGUUGUAAACCGCUUUCGCCUGUGACGAAGCGUGAGUGACGGUAAUGGGUAAAGAAGCACCGGCUAACUACGUG
Molecule: ribosomal RNA, 468 nt
Filed under: uncultured bacterium
Lineage: Bacteria
Description: partial 16S ribosomal RNA
Rfam family: Bacterial small subunit ribosomal RNA
Source: RNAcentral